Molecule: ribosomal RNA, 253 nt
Filed under: uncultured bacterium
Lineage: Bacteria
Description: partial 16S ribosomal RNA
Rfam family: Bacterial small subunit ribosomal RNA
Source: RNAcentral
GACGAACCGUGCGAACGUUGUUCGGAUUCACUGGGCUUAAAGGGCGCGUAGGCGGCUUGCCAAGUCAGGGGUGAAAUCGUUCGGCUCAACCGGACAAGUGCUUCUGAUACUGGCAGGCUGGAGGGAGGUAGGGGCAGACGGAACUUCCGGUGGAGCGGUGAAAUGCGUAGAUAUCGGAAGGAACGCCGGUGGCGAAAGCGGUCUGCUGGAUCUCUUCUGACGCUGAUGCGCGAAAGCCAGGGGAGCAAACGGG